AUGGAGCUGCCCUUGCCGCUGCUCUGGCAGUCGGAGGCCUACAAGCGUGAGAGGCUGCCGCAGGCCAUGCCGCAGUGCCCAGUCCUCAAGGCCGACGAGGUUGGUGUCCUCUACCUCUUGCUGGGAGAUUACUACCUCGAUUGGGAGAGAAGGGCUCGGCUAUGCAGGGAGAUUGAGUGUGUGAUCAGCAUCAACAUGCGCACAAAAUCUCUCCUGUCCUGCAGCCAUCGUCCGAUCAAAGAUGGCUUCUCACCCAAGUGGCGAGACAAAGACCAGCCUUCCAAAGGUUUCCGUCCCGUCAUGCCUUCCCUGUUUGCCGCCAAGUUCUGCCCGAGCCACACUGGAUGGUCUGAUGAUCUUCUGCCCAAGAAAAAAAAGAAUCAUCUAACAGAUGGUAAUUUGAAUCUGAAUCUAGUACUACCACUCCUCCUACUCCUACUUGAUGUUAUCUGCGCACAUUCUGCUUGA
RNAcentral lists this ribosomal RNA (468 nucleotides) under Triticum aestivum (bread wheat). RNAcentral's name for it is "partial small subunit ribosomal RNA". The record is from RNAcentral. Lineage: Eukaryota; Viridiplantae; Streptophyta; Magnoliopsida; Poales; Poaceae.